AGAGUUUGAUCCUGGCUCAGGACGAACGCUGGCGGCGUGCCUAAUACAUGCAAGUAGAACGCUGAAGAGAGGAGCUUGCUCUUCUUGGAUGAGUUGCGAACGGGUGAGUAACGCGUAGGUAACCUGCCUUGUAGCGGGGGAUAACUAUUGGAAACGAUAGCUAAUACCGCAUAACAAUGGAUGACACAUGUCAUUUAUUUGAAAGGGGCAAUUGUUCCACUACAAGAUGGACCUGCGUUGUAUUAGCUAGUAGGUGAGGUAAUGGCUCACCUAGGCGACGAUACAUAGCCGACCUGAGAGGGUGAUCGGCCACACUGGGACUGAGACACGGCCCAGACUCCUACGGGAGGCAGCAGUAGGGAAUCUUCGGCAAUGGGGGCAACCCUGACCGAGCAACGCCGCGUGAGUGAAGAAGGUUUUCGGAUCGUAAAGCUCUGUUGUAAGUCAAGAACGGGUGUGAGAGUGGAAAGUUCACACUGUGACGGUAGCUUACCAGAAAGGGACGGCUAACUACGUGCCAGCAGCCGCGGUAAUACGUAGGUCCCGAGCGUUGUCCGGAUUUAUUGGGCGUAAAGCGAGCGCAGGCGGUUUGAUAAGUCUGAAGUUAAAGGCUGUGGCUCAACCAUAGUUCGCUUUGGAAACUGUCAAACUUGAGUGCAGAAGGGGAGAGUGGAAUUCCAUGUGUAGCGGUGAAAUGCGUAGAUAUAUGGAGGAACACCGGUGGCGAAAGCGGCUCUCUGGUCUGUAACUGACGCUGAGGCUCGAAAGCGUGGGGAGCGAACAGGAUUAGAUACCCUGGUAGUCCACGCCGUAAACGAUGAGUGCUAGGUGCUGGAUCCUUUCCGGGAUUCAGUGCCGCAGCUAACGCAUUAAGCACUCCGCCUGGGGAGUACGACCGCAAGGUUGAAACUCAAAGGAAUUGACGGGGGCCCGCACAAGCGGUGGAGCAUGUGGUUUAAUUCGAAGCAACGCGAAGAACCUUACCAGGUCUUGACAUCCCGAUGCUAUUUCUAGAGAUAGAAAGUUACUUCGGUACAUCGGUGACAGGUGGUGCACGGUUGUCGUCAGCUCGUGUCGUGAGAUGUUGGGUUAAGUCCCGCAACGAGCGCAACCCCUAUUGUUAGUUGCCAUCAUUCAGUUGGGCACUCUAGCGAGACUGCCGGUAAUAAACCGGAGGAAGGUGGGGAUGACGUCAAAUCAUCAUGCCCCUUAUGACCUGGGCUACACACGUGCUACAAUGGUUGGUACAACGAGUUGCGAGUCGGUGACGGCGAGCUAAUCUCUUAAAGCCAAUCUCAGUUCGGAUUGUAGGCUGCAACUCGCCUACAUGAAGUCGGAAUCGCUAGUAAUCGCGGAUCAGCACGCCGCGGUGAAUACGUUCCCGGGCCUUGUACACACCGCCCGUCACACCACGAGAGUUUGUAACACCCGAAGUCGGUGAGGUAACCUUUUGGAGCCAGCCGCCUAAGGUGGGACAGAUGAUUGGGGUGAAGUCGUAACAAGGUA
RNAcentral lists this ribosomal RNA (1506 nucleotides) under metagenome. RNAcentral describes it as "bacterial SSU rRNA". It matches the Rfam family "Bacterial small subunit ribosomal RNA". The record is from RNAcentral.